Molecule: long non-coding RNA, 466 nt
Filed under: Helianthus annuus (common sunflower)
Lineage: Eukaryota; Viridiplantae; Streptophyta; Magnoliopsida; Asterales; Asteraceae
Description: hypothetical non coding rna
Source: RNAcentral
UCUUUUUCUUCCUCUGUUCUCACUGAGCUCUUGAACGGUGGGAAAUCUUCUGCAGGCAUCGCAAACGGCCGCAACAUUUUCUCCAUCUUUUCUAGAGUAAGGUAUGACUAGCCAGGAGCUUUAAUUUGAUGUUCAGGUAAUUGCUAAUUUUGACAUAAGAAAAAAAAAGAAGUUUUAUAGUGAAGCCGCAUGUCAAGUUGCAACUUUAGGCUAUGUGAACUUAAUUUCAUAAGAAGUUUUAUGGUGAAGCCGGAGCUUUGUGUAAAAGAAAAAAAAAGAAGAACAACUUGGUCUAUACAUGUUCAUAUUCCUUCAAAAGAAUAACACGAGCGUGACAAUUGCGAACCAUUAUAUAUUCGGUAGUUCUUACCACCCCUGUUUUAGUUGAGCAUCAUAGUUUUUUCCACUUUUGGGAUGUAUUUGAAUUGAGUCGUUACUUGAGAAAAUCUUUAUCCAUUCCUUUGUA